This 184-nucleotide unclassified non-coding RNA is filed under the name uncultured fungus. Its description in RNAcentral is "partial contains 18S rRNA, ITS1, 5.8S rRNA, ITS2 and 28S rRNA". The record is from RNAcentral. Lineage: Eukaryota; Fungi.
AAGGAUCAUUAUCAAUAAAACCGAAAGGUUUAGCCCUUUGUGAACCAAAAAAACUUUAGCUUCGGCAGCUGGUCUGACAUAGACCGUCAGUCUGCCGGUAGCACCAAAUUUAAACUGCAUAUAAUCUUGUCUGUAAUUAUUUAUUGAAUAAUCAAAACUUUCAACAACGGAUCUCUUGGUUCUC